Molecule: long non-coding RNA, 253 nt
Filed under: Hordeum vulgare
Lineage: Eukaryota; Viridiplantae; Streptophyta; Magnoliopsida; Poales; Poaceae
Description: long non-coding RNA (HVUL_LNC012187)
Source: RNAcentral
AAGCGGUAACAUAGCCAAUCAGUGGUUUGCUAGGUCGAACAGGUUGAAGGCUAUCAUGACAUUGUUGAGAGGCUGGUACUUAACAUGUGGUAGGCAACGAGACAUAAUCGAUAGAAGCGGUAAUACUAGCAUGGCAAUGAUAGUAAUGGUAUCUGGGGAAAUGAUCAUCUUGCCUGAGAUCCCGCUUGGAAGAAGAAUGCCUCCGUGAAGCAGACGAACCGACGUAGUCGAACGGGUCCUCACAAUCCGGCAC